AGAGUGAACGCUGGCGGCAGGCCUAACACAUGCAAGUCGAACGGCAGCACAGGGGAGCUUGCUCCCUGGGUGGCGAGUGGCGGACGGGUGAGGAAAACGUCGGAAUCUGCCUAUUUGUGGGGGAUAACGUAGGGAAACUUACGCUAAUACCGCAUACGACCUACGGGUGAAAGCGGAGGACCUUCGGGCUUCGCGCAGAUAGAUGAGCCGACGUCGGAUUAGCUAGUUGGCGGGGUAAAGGCCCACCAAGGCGACGAUCCGUAGCUGGUCUGAGAGGAUGAUCAGCCACACUGGAACUGAGACACGGUCCAGACUCCUACGGGAGGCAGCAGUGGGGAAUAUUGGACAAUGGGCGCAAGCCUGAUCCAGCCAUGCCGCGUGUGUGAAGAAGGCCUCGGUUAGUAAGCAUUUUGUACCGGAAAGAAAAGUCAACCGGUUAAUACCCGUGGUGUACAUGACGGUACCGAAGAAUAGCACCGCUAACGUCGUGCC
RNAcentral lists this ribosomal RNA (492 nucleotides) under uncultured soil bacterium. Its description in RNAcentral is "bacterial SSU rRNA". It matches the Rfam family "Bacterial small subunit ribosomal RNA", at positions 26 to 509 of the family's 1533-position model. The record is from RNAcentral.